AUCCCCGGCACAUCCCCGGCACAUCCCGGGAACAUCCCCGGCACAUCCCCGGCACAUCCCGGGAACAUCCCGGGAACAUCCCCGGCACAUCCCCGGCACAUCCCCGGCACAUCCCCGGCACAUCCCGGGAACAUCCCCGGCACAUCCCGGGAACAUCCCGGGAACAUCCCCGGCACAUCCCCGGCACAUCCCGGGAACAUCCCCGGCACAUCCCCGGCACAUCCCGGGCACAUCCCGGGAACAUCCCCGGCACAUCCCCGGCACAUCCCGGGAACAUCCCGGGAACAUCCCCGGCACAUCCCCGGCACAUCCCCGGCACAUCCCCGGCCUCUGCCGGGCACCAAAGACCCUGCCUGGGCUGGGGGGCACCAGCCGAGCCCCCCUUUUGCUGCCCCCAUCCCAAUCCCCCCCGUCCUGCCCAAGGAGCUGCGAGGCACCGAGGAUUUCCCCGUCUACUUUAUUUUUUCCUUUUAUUUUUCUUUUUCUUAUUUUUUUAACUUCUUUCUUUUUUUUUUUGUUUUGUCUCUCCCUUUCCCCCACUUUUUUCCUUUUCUCCUUUUUUCUCCCUUUUUCCUUAUUCCCCCUUUUUCCUCUCUUCCUUUUUCAUUUUUUCUUUAUUCCUCUUAUUUUCCUUCUUUUCACCCUCAUGUUUCUUUAUUCUCCUUUUUCCCUCUUCCUUUUUUCUUUUUUUUUUCUUUUUGCUUUUUCCUCCACUUUUCCUUUUCUACCUCCUUUCCCUUUUCCCUCUAUUCUUCUUUAUUUUACUUUUCCCCUCAUUCCUUUCCCUUUCCUUUUUUAUUUUUCCUUUUUUUCCCAUUUUUUUUCCCCCCCAUUUCCUCCCUCUUUUUUUUUUUUUUUUUUUUUUUUUCCCUUCUUUCCCUUUUCCCUCCACUCUUUAAUUUAAGUAUUUUUGGAACAAGUUUACAGCUGCCAUGGGGGUUUUAUCACCGAUUGCUGCUUUAUUCCCGGGAAGGAGCAGGAAGAGCCGGACUUUGGGAUGCUCGGCCACCCUUCACCCUCACAGGAAAUCCUCUGCCUGCAUCCAGGCUUUUGGGAUUUUGGGAAAUUAUUCUCCCUCUUUGCCAGUCCCUGCUGUUCAGCCCCCUCACUGAUUUUUGGGGGGGUUUCAGUAGAAAAAAGGGUGUUCCCCUUUUUUCCCAUUCCUGGCCCUUUUCCUUCUCCUCCCUCCUCGCCCUUUUUUUUUUUCCCCACCUCCUUGGGGUGUGA
Molecule: long non-coding RNA, 1227 nt
Filed under: Cyanistes caeruleus (blue tit)
Lineage: Eukaryota; Metazoa; Chordata; Aves; Passeriformes; Paridae
Description: lncRNA (ENSCCEG00000017215.1)
Source: RNAcentral